AAAUAAUAUAGAUUUGUAGUAGUGAGUAGUAACACUGAGGUGCGGUGCUACAGAUUUCUGAUGGCUGGACGUAUGGGAAAUUUGGUCAAUCAUGUAAAACUCAACGGUGCAAAACAUUUUUACACAAUGCGCUAGAGAACAAGUUUAUUUACUUUUGAACUUUUUCUACAAACAGAAAUUUCUCGCAAUAUUUUUUAUUAAUAAUUGAAAGUCAAGUAUCAAACCGAUACGGAAAUAAGCCCACGUGAAACUCAUAUAUACCAAGGUAAAUUACCGACAGUCAAGAAGUUGCUUUCGACUUCAAGUUCUUCACCAUAUCAUCCCACCUCAGCAAUGAUCAACACCAUUUAGUAACUUCUUCUGAUUUACCCACCUGUCUCCAUCAGUCCAUAUGGUCCCCGCCUUCUUAUCAUGCUCCUUCACGCCUUGUUACUGCUGACAAACAAACCACAUGUAAAUAUCUUACAGUACAUAAUAUAUUUACAACCGCGCUAUGAAUAGAUAACUCCAAAUGUAGCUUUCAGAAUUGGUCAUGCAUUCUCUGUUUUCAUACCAAGAAUGCAUUUUAUAAUUGUACUGAAACCUGUAACUGUAAACAGUUCAGGUAUAGAAAAAAUAAAAGGCCUGUCACAAUAGCCCAGCAUAACUUUGUUUUCGGUUUGCAGGACGAAAAACUGCUAAUAUGGUACUCCAAAGAGAGGGAAAAAAGUCUGAGCUUGAGUUCUGUGUCAAGUGUGGUUCUCGGACAGAAAACGGUAUCUGGUUUUCUUCCCUAAACACUUUUUAUUGAUUUAAGUAUAAGAAGACAUACAUAUUCUUAGAAUGUCUGUAUUUGCAGACAAACCUUUUGCGUUUGCAUUGGCCAGAAAAGGAACAUCACUCCUUGUCAGUCAUAUACAAGAAUGGUGAAUGCUCACUGGACUUGGUAUUUCCUACUAGGCCUGGAAUUCUUGAGUUUAGAAUCUCUUUGCUCCUCGUAUCACCGCCUUUUCUAACAUCUAUUUACAAUCAUGUCUUCCAGAUCUGCAAAGACAAGGACCAAGCUGACUGCUGGCAUCUAGGCCUAACAGCCUUGGUAUCUGCUCUAUAUAGUCCUCUUCUUUUGGUUGAUUCAACAAGCAGCCGUCGGAUAAACAGUUGCGCAAAUAGCCCUCCUAGCUAUAUUCAGCAAAGGAAUAGGCUAUUUUCAGUGCAUGACACAAGAAAGUUCAGCCAGGUUAGAUUUGGAACCUAUGCAUGUCAUGAUUUCUAUGUGAUGUGAGAACAUGAUUACUUUGUUCAAGUAUGAGUUCACCAUGACCUGUGACCUUUCCUAGAUUACGCUAAGUAAAACUUUUGGUUUUCUGUUAAAAUCAGGGACAACCCACUGCUCGGCUCAGGAAAUUGCGAAAUUAAUAACCAACAUGUUGAGCAGUGUUACAAUUCUGGCCAUUUUGAUAAAUUAUCCUUUCCAAAUAUAUAAAUAAUAAUACAAUUAUUAGGUAACACCCAAACUAAUGUAAUGUCAAGUGGGUAAUGAUACACUUUGUGGAGCUGCAUAUUUUUCAUAACUACUCCCUCUGUAAAGUAAUAUAGGACUUUUUAGAUCACUAGUAAUCUAAAAAGUCUUAUAUUACUUUACAGAUGCAGUACUAAAUAAGGUGAUAUCACUGAUAACUUAUGAAAGACUGUAAAUUGCCAUUUCUUAGCCACUAGUAAUUUCAAAUUGUUAAAUUCAACUGAUAACUUAUGGAAGUAUCUAACUAAUUUAUUUAUGAAGGUACACUCACUGUAUGGCAGUCCUAGAUUGAUACAGAACAAAGUAUCGAAGAGCAGUCUGGAUUGCCCAGAAGCAUUCGUCUCUCCAAGGGAGAGAACGUGGUCAGAUGUAGAUUUCUACUUGGAAAGAAUUACUCCUGAAAUGGUAAACAGAGUUAAAAACAGUUUCAUGGAUAUUCCAGUGGCUGCAAAAAUUCAGGAGGGAAUUACCCAAAUGCCUAAACUGAAAGCUUCUGAAGGAUCCCACAUGGCAUGUGGAAUAGAUUCUCUGAAGGACAUCUUUGCCUGGGGAGAAAUUCCAGGCAGUGUGUUGGAGAAUGGAGAUGCACCAAAAGAUAAUGUUUCACUUCCAAGGUUAUUGAAGCCAACCCAGAUUCUGGACGUGCAGAACGUCGCCUGUGGGGAGAAACAUGCAGCAAUAGUUACUAAGCAAGGGGAGGUCUUCUCUUGGGGAAAGGAGAGUGGUGGGAUAUUGGGACACAAAAUGAGUGUCAGUGUCUCCGAACCUACGAUUAUCGAAUCUCUUACCUCUAUCCCUAUGAAGGCUAUUGCAUUUGGGGCAAAGCACACCUGUGCACUUGCAAUUUCAGGAGAACUUUAUGAGUGGGGUGAAGGGACUCACAGCUUGGGUCUGUGGGAUGAUCAGUGUCAAAGAAGCCAAUGGUUCCCACACAAACUGUUUGAUCCUUUGGAUGGCGUAUCGGUUCUGAAGAUCGCAUGUGGCCAAUGGCACACGGCUAUCAUAUCCUCCUCUGGUCAACUGUUCACAUAUGGCGAUGGAACAUUUGGUGUUCUUGGACAUGGCAACACGAUGAGCGUGGCUCGGCCCAAAGAAGUAGAGUCUCUGAAAGGGUUAAGAACCAAGGCUGUGGCAUGUGGGCCAUGGCACACAGCUGCCAUUGUGGAAAUAUUAGGUACUGUCAAGAGCAAUGCUCCUAGUGGGAAGCUGUUCACUUGGGGUGAUGCAGAUAAAGGAAAGCUGGGUCAUGCUGACCAAAAAUCCAAGCUUGUACCGACUUGUGUCGAGCCACUCACUGAUUCUGAUUUUGCUCAGGUAUCCUGUGCUAAGGCACUGACAGUCGCGCUUACAAUAACAGGUGUUGUUUUCACCAUUGGAAGCAUGGAACACGGACAAUUAGGCAACCGCCGAUUGAGUGACACAUCUAUUUGUUCGGUUGAAGGGCCUCUUAAGACUGAGUUUGUCAGAGAUAUAUCGUCAGGCUCUUCCCAUGUCGCAGUUUUGACAAUGAAUGGAAAGGUGUAUACCUGGGGCAAAGGCACAGAAGGUCAACUUGGUUUAGGUGACUAUACUGACAGGAGCUCCCCAACUCUAGUGGAGUCCUUGGAAGAUAAGCAAGUAGACAGUAUAGCCUGCGGUUCCAAUUUCACUAUUGCGGUUUGUUUACAUAGGUCUAUCUCAGGCAAGGAUCAAUCUGUAUGCAGCAGUUGUCAGUUGUCUUUUACCUUCACAAGGAAGAAGCACAACUGCUACAACUGUGGUUCCAUGUUCUGCAAUUCCUGCAGCAGUAACAAGGUUUCAAGGGCAGCUCUUGGACCAGAUAGGAGCAAAAGAUACCGUGUUUGCGAUGUGUGUUUCACUCAACUGCAGAAGAUUGAAGGACAUGGCACACUAAGUUCACAAUCAGCGAUCCAAAAGGAGGAGGCAUUUCCAACAGAAAUAAGACCAUAUACACCGAAGUUAUCACGCAUAUUCAAGGAAGCAAAUUCUAUCAUGGAAAAAAUGACAACGGCACAGGGUUCCAAUCAGAGAAAUCAGGACUUAGCUGCACCGGUUCAACUGAAAACACGGAGAUGGGGGCAAGUAGAGUGCCCCAGUCAAUUUAAAUGUGCACGAAACAACAUUCCAUGCUGUUCCAUACCAAAUAAACAGACAGUCGACGUUUCGCUUACACAGAGAAUGCCUGAACCAGUACCCCCAAAAGGUACCGGCUCUAUGCCAGAAGCAGCUACUAAUUUGAAAGCAGAAUUAGAUUCGACAGAGAAUAUAUUACUAGGAGAAGUAAAACAGCUUCAAGCACAGGUAAUUCAUAGAGUAUAACAUUGUUUGCAAUGUCAGAUUUUUUUUUGUCCUCCUUUUAAAUGAUACUCCCUCCGUCCCAUAAUAUAGGACGUUUUUUGACACUAGUGUAGUGUCAAAAAACGUCUUACAUUAUAUUUUCACUAACUAUUGACUUAUUUUUAUUUAAAAAUGUAAAGCAUUGAUCUUAAUAAUUAUGUUGUUCUCAUCUAAGCAGGUGACCACCCUAGCAGAACAAUGCCGGCGUAGGAGCCUGAAGGUUCAAAUGUACAAACGAAAAGUCGAGGAAACCUGGCUGAUUAUCCUGAAUGAAGCAGCAAAUUGCAAAGCUGCAAAAGAAAUUAUAAAGGUUUUAACCAAUCAGGUAUAACUUUGACCUAUGUCAAUUCCCUACCUAUUCAGAAACUGAGUAUUUAUAUAAAAUAAGUUGUCUGGCGCAAAUUGUGCAGAGGAAUACUUUAUCAAAGAAGAUUGAUUUAGCUGAUGGGCAAUAAUACAACUCCAUAACUAUACCUAGCCGCAUCAACGAUGGACAACCAGUAAAAGCAGAAUUACCAGACCCACCAGACAAAAACCCUGUCACCGGCAAAUUUCAACAGCUGAGCAGCAUCAGGGAUCACCAUCAGCAAGUGGACAGGGAACGUAUACAGUCUUCAAGCGCAGCUGUGGCGAAAGGCUCAGUCACGCAUAGAAAUGGCAGAAGAGCACCCACUAACAGCAAUACCUAUGCCGGGGAAAAUGAUGCCACCAUUCCUCCUGUUGAUCCCAAUGGCACGAUCGAGCAAAUCGAGCGCGGGGUGUAUGUGACCGUUGUCACAUCCCCCGGUGGAAACAAAGGCGUCAAGCGCAUCCGGUUCAGGUAACUCCAAAAAGGCCUUUGAUACACACACAUUCCCUAGAUAAUUUACUUGUGUGAUAAUAUGCUUUUUCAACAAUCCUACAGUCGGAAGCAUUUUGGCGAGAAGGAAGCACAAAAAUGGUGGGAAGCAAAUGAGAGCAAGGUGUUUGCAAAGUACAGCAGCACGGAACAGAUGAGAGAGUAACCAGCUGUAACAGCCGACUGACAUUGUAAAUGGCAAUGGAUUCCAAAUACUCCCUCCGUUCACAAAUAAAGAUGUUCUACCCUUUUUGUGAAUCGGAUGUAUAUAGACACGUUUUAGUGUGUUUGUUCACUCAUUUCAGUCCAUAUGUAGUCCAUAAUGAAAUAUCCAAACCAUGUUUUGCAAACCGAGGGGGUAGUAAAUACACUGAAAGAUGGUACUGUUCAGUAAUGACAAUACCUAGUGUCAAAAAACGUCUUACAUUAUGGGACGGAGGAAAGUACUCCCUCCGUUCCAAAUUACUCGUCGCAGAAAUGGUUGUAUCUAGAACUAAAAUACAUCUAGAUACAUCCAUACCUGCGACAAGUAAUUCGGAACGGAGGGAGUAGGUAAGUAGGAGUAGAUCCCCAUGGUUAACCCCUAUAUGAUGUACAGAGGGUAGGUCUGAGUUGAGUUGGAUUAUGGUUGUGAUGCCUCCUCUUGAGUGAUCCAAUCAUUCGGAACUUGGAUGUAAGUUUGUAGUGUGGAUUCAUGGGCGUUGCCUUCCUGAUCUGAGUCACAUAGUGGGAGAGCAAAGACGUACCGGAACGGCUGGUUUUGAAGCUCCCCGUCUGCUAGCACAGGUAGAAAUGGCGACUUUGGCAUGGCAAGGGUUCUCACUGAAGGUGUCCAGGCGCCUCCCAGUGACCCGCC
This 5529-nucleotide long non-coding RNA is filed under the name Triticum aestivum (bread wheat). RNAcentral describes it as "long non-coding RNA (TAES_LNC010575)". The stretch from base 5114 to 5228 matches the Rfam family "MIR1120/MIR1122 microRNA precursor family". Lineage: Eukaryota; Viridiplantae; Streptophyta; Magnoliopsida; Poales; Poaceae. The record is from RNAcentral.